CCUACGGGUGGCUGCAGUGGGGAAUAUUGGGCAAUGGGCGCAAGCCUGACCCAGCCACGUCGCGUGAAGGAAGAAUGCCCUACGGGUUGUAACUUCUUUUUAUAGGGACGUAAUAUAUGACACUACUUGAUGUCUAAGUGUCCUCUAUCAAUGAGCAUCCGCUAACUACGUUCCAGCGGCCGCGGUAGUACGGCGGAUUCAAUCGUUGUACGGGUUUAUUGGGUGUAAAGGGAGUGCAGAUGGGAGGUUAAGGUAGUUGUGAAAGUUCGUGGCUCAACCUUUGAAUUGCAAUUGAUACUGGUAUGCUUGAGUGAUGGUGAGGCAGGCGGAAUUCGGUGUGUAGCGGUGAAAUGCGUAGAUAUACAGAAGAACACCAAUGGCGAAGGCAGCCUACUAAAC
RNAcentral lists this ribosomal RNA (399 nucleotides) under uncultured bacterium. Its description in RNAcentral is "partial 16S ribosomal RNA". It matches the Rfam family "Bacterial small subunit ribosomal RNA", at positions 338 to 734 of the family's 1533-position model. The record is from RNAcentral.